CGAGGUGAAGCGCAGUCUAGUUGCGCGCUUAGCUCGCGAGACGAAGAAGCCGGAGGUUCAAAUCUUCUCACCUCGA
This 76-nucleotide transfer RNA is filed under the name SAR324 cluster bacterium. RNAcentral describes it as "tRNA-OTHER". It matches the Rfam family "tRNA". Rfam says of the family: Transfer RNA (tRNA) molecules are approximately 80 nucleotides in length. Lineage: Bacteria; Deltaproteobacteria. The record is from RNAcentral.